Molecule: long non-coding RNA, 1173 nt
Organism: Rhineura floridana
Lineage: Eukaryota; Metazoa; Chordata; Lepidosauria; Squamata; Rhineuridae
Exons: 3
Source: RefSeq, a predicted model, not a curated record
ACCACUGUCUCUAAAGGAUUGUAUUUGCAGACUGAGGGAAGAAGGGCUCAUAGAUCCAGCUUUCUCACUGACGUCCUGUGUGGCAUGGAGUGCUUUUCACUAGGUGGGUUUUUAAGAACCCCUGAAGUUAGUUUUCAAGAGAGGUUCAGCUGAGCUUUGCCAGGAUCACUACUAUCAACAGAUCUUGUGAAUCAGAAAGGAAAGCAUUACAGGGCAACUGAGAAUUACUGGAUAAGAGCAGUUUUUCUACAGACAGAAGGAAACAUGUCGAUUUGGACACCCGGUAGAGAGACAAUCUUCUCAUUGUCCCACAAAGCAACUUACCCUCUAGAGCGAUCUUAAGCUGCUCUGCAUUUUAUCUGCCAGUUGUUUGUCAACUCAUCGUGACAACAUGAGAAAGUGACCAUAUUUUUCUUUUAACAAUUUAGAUGACUUCUGCAGGUUUUUCCUCUGCUAGCAGUGGACAGAGAGAAAGAAAAGGGGGGGGGACCUUCUAGAUCUCUUUUCACUUUGGAGUGUUGGCCUCAUUUUUCCCUUGUAAAGAUGUCUCAAUUUAUAGAUUUUAUUUUGUGCGUGUGUCUUGGAGACAGAAUGGAUCUGGUGUCUUUUUUUUAUUUUUUAAGUCCCUUCUUUCUCUGUUCUGACACUUCCAAUUCACAGUUGCUAAGCAUUCCAAGAGCUCACCAGAGGGACCCUCUCAUAGUGUGAUUUGAAAACUUUGAAAUAACACCUACCAGCAGAAGCACCAUAUGCUCUAAAGUUUCACAACGAACCAACAGGAGCAAUCCGCAAUAGCAUUUGGAAAAAGAAAAUGCCAAAGAUUUCACCCUUUGCUACCAACAAAAGCCUCUUCAUUUAGGGUUAUAUCCCAUCCCUGCCAAUUAUUACAUGAUUUCUCUCCCCAUCCCUCCACUGCACGCUGCUCCUGGUCUACACAAUUGCACCACAGGGGUGCCAUUUAGGGGAGGGGCAAAGAUUUUAGGGAAGGGGGAGAAGAUUCUGGCCUGCUGUUGAAUAUAUUCAAGGUCAAAUUGCAAAAAAUGAGAGGUGUAUGUUCAGAGCAAUAGCUGUGAUAUAUACACACAUAUCAGCUGUGAAUUUUAUGCAGUAUAUAGAUAGUAUUACAAUAACAAUAGACGUGUAAUCACAUAGUGACCUUUUUAAAAAAAGGAU